UCGCGACCCGUUGGGCGCCGGCCUAAGGACCGCGGUGGAGACCGGACUCGCCCUCGGGCGAGUGCGGACCCGCGGCCACCCGGCCGGUCCGACCGACGGUAUAACUAAGGCGCGGGGCCGCGAUUCGUUCGCGUCCGGCACGUCGCAAGCGCGAACGGUUAAAGCGGGCCGUCCGGGCCUCGUACCGGAUCCCGACCCGUUCGGCUGUUAGCGGCGCAGUCCUCGGACAGACCCCGCGCCAGUCCGCGGCGCUAUAGCUUUGGGUACUUUCAGGACCCGUCUUGAA
Molecule: ribosomal RNA, 286 nt
Filed under: Phanaeus endymion
Lineage: Eukaryota; Metazoa; Arthropoda; Insecta; Coleoptera; Scarabaeidae
Description: partial 28S ribosomal RNA
Source: RNAcentral